RNAcentral lists this ribosomal RNA (588 nucleotides) under uncultured Polaromonas sp. RNAcentral's name for it is "bacterial SSU rRNA". It matches the Rfam family "Bacterial small subunit ribosomal RNA", at positions 335 to 916 of the family's 1533-position model. Lineage: Bacteria; Pseudomonadati; Pseudomonadota; Betaproteobacteria; Burkholderiales; Comamonadaceae. The record is from RNAcentral.
ASUCCUACGGGAGGCAGCAGUGGGGAAUUUUGGACAAUGGGCGAAAGCCUGAUCCAGCAAUGCCGCGUGCAGGAAGAAGGCCUUCGGGUUGUAAACUGCUUUUGUACGGAACGAAAAGGCCUGCCCCAAUACGGCGGGCCCAUGACGGUACCGUAAGAAUAAGCACCGGCUAACUACGUGCCAGCAGCCGCGGUAAUACGUAGGGUGCGAGCGUUAAUCGGAAUUACUGGGCGUAAAGCGUGCGCAGGCGGUGAUGUAAGACAGUUGUGAAAUCCCCGGGCUCAACCUGGGAAUUGCAUCUGUGACUGCAUCGCUAGAGUACGGUAGAGGGGGAUGGAAUUCCGCGUGUAGCAGUGAAAUGCGUAGAUAUGCGGAGGAACACCGAUGGCGAAGGCAAUCCCCUGGACCUGUACUGACGCUCAUGCACGAAAGCGUGGGGAGCAAACAGGAUUAGAUACCCUGGUAGUCCACGCCCUAAACGAUGUCAACUGGUUGUUGGGUGCAUUAGUACUCAGUAACGAAGCUAACGCGUGAAGUUGACCGCCUGGGGAGUACGGUCGCAAGAUUAAAACUCAAAGGAAUUGACGG